AACUCCCUCCCUCUGCAGAUGCUCCUGGGAUUGGGCCAAGAGGUUCAACUCCAGCACCAGAGGGAGUAGGAUGCCAGGAGAGGCCAGCUUUGCAAACUCCCAACCCCCCGGGUUCUCAGUGGCAGAAGACUGAGUGUACAGGGACCAAGGUGGCUUGUGGUUGAGCUGAGACCACUGCACUUGGAGCAUCUGUAGCUCCAGACCCCUUCGCUUUCCUGACUCUACGGAUGAGGUGAUUCACGCUUGCUUCCUAUUCUGUCUUCAUGGAGUCAAGGAUGCUCUUAGCACCCGUAUUAGUCUAUUCUGGCUCUGAGAAGAGCAUGCUGUAGACUGGGUGGCUUCUAAACAACAGACCUUGAUCUCUUGGCUGUGAAGGCUGACAAGUUCAAGAUCAAGAGAUUCAGUGUCUCACAAAGGCCAGCUUCCGAUGACUUCUUCUCAUUGUGUCCUCCCAUGCCCGAGGGACGGAGUCUUCGGGUCUCAUUCACAAGGGCACUAUCCCCAGGGUCUAGCCAGCUCCCAAAGGUCUGCUUCCUGAUCCUAUCACACCAUGGACCAGGAUUGCAACCUUUGAUUGGAGGGUGGGGCAUAAAUAUCCAGUCACUGACAACACCCUUCCAGAGCCCUUAGGAUUCAAAAUGAUAAGUGAAUUCUCCAUUCUGGAACUGACACCACCUUCUGGAAAGAAAUAUACAGAAAGAGAAAGUAUACUAGUGUCAAGAAGAGAACGUCCCUGCUUUCCCAAAGAUAUACAAGUGGCCAUCUCAGCGGCUCUAGAUUCUAGAUCAUAGCACAGUGGAUAUGUUUGCUUAUAAAGAUAUUUUGAUCUUUUAGUUUAUGACUCAAAUGGAUUGCCAGAGUGGGGAUGAGGAGACCAAAAACAUAUCUAAGGCUCUUAGAACAUCUUUUCAAAUUGCCUUCCAAAUGGGUCAGAUUAAUUUUCAUCUUAUUCGGGAUCGGUACUGGCUGGUUUUGUGUGUCAACUUGACACAAGCUGGAGUUAUCACAGAGAAAGGAGCCUCCCCUGAGGA
Molecule: long non-coding RNA, 1031 nt
Filed under: Mus musculus (house mouse)
Lineage: Eukaryota; Metazoa; Chordata; Mammalia; Rodentia; Muridae
Description: long non-coding RNA chr11:88255680-88256711
Source: RNAcentral